AGUUCUUGUGUCACAGAGACUCUGAACUGUUUUCAUGCACUCACACUGAAAACUGCAUCAGGAUGAUGUUUCCAAUAACUCUGAUUGUCAUGUUGGGUUUUCUGACUCAGGAGUCGUUUGCCAACAAUUUUCUGACUCAGGCUGAUAAAUCCAAGUCUGUCAGUGUUGGAGGGACUGUGACCAUCAGCGCCACAGGGAGUUCAAAUAUAGGUGCUGAUCUCAGUUGGUACCUUCAGAAACCUGGACAGCCUCCUAAACUUCUUAUAUACAAAGCAUCAACUCUCUACUCAGGAACUCCGUCUAGAUUCAGAGGCAGUAGAUCUGAUUCUCAGUACACUUUAACCAUCAGUGGAGCUCAGGCUGAAGAUGCUGGAGAUUAUUACUGUCUUGGUGACCAUGGUGGUGCGUUUACACAGUGAAAUAGAGUCGUACAAAAACCUCCUCCAGUCUGACUGAAGGCUGCAGGUGCAGAGAGUUGGUGAAGAGACAGUGAUGAGGAGAACUGGUCCAGUGAACACAACACUAGAGUCAUCAAGCAGAAACUUUUAU
Mugil cephalus (flathead mullet) is the source of this 549-nucleotide non-coding RNA. The record is from the annotation of a RefSeq genome assembly. Lineage: Eukaryota; Metazoa; Chordata; Actinopteri; Mugiliformes; Mugilidae.